CUGAAAUACAGAAGUAACAUCUUUCAAGGAUCUGAGGUGUAUUCAAGUAAAAUGGCCUCUUAUCUCACUCAUAGUCAUUGAUUUGUAUGGCUCCACAAAUUCAGCACAAUAACAAGAUGUGUGGUACAAACAUAAGUUGUACAUGUAGAAUGACUGCUUGCACAAAACAGCAUCCUGUCAGUGAGCAAAGGAUGCUGGGCAAAGGAUGCUGGGAUAUAUCUGAUUCCGACUACCGCUGGUCACUACUCCUUCUUCCCUCUGCUGUUAACAGCUCAAGCUGCAUCUCAGGAAAUAAGGAGUGUUUCUUCCCAGAGAGGACUUUCAUUAAAUGCUGCCUGAUGAAGUUCUAUUGAGAGGGAAGAGAACACCUUUAGAGCUUCAAAUAACUUCUAAAAGAAACUAGUGCUCCAUGGAAAUCAGGAAGCAACCAAAAAAAUAGACUGCUCUCUUGUAUAGAAACACUGGGGAUGAUUUUUUUGGGGAUGUUGGUUCUAUUUUGGUCAAUAUUAACUAGACCCAACAUUGACUUUUAAUAAAUUAACCCCAUAGUAAAA
Molecule: long non-coding RNA, 554 nt
Organism: Pseudophryne corroboree (corroboree frog)
Lineage: Eukaryota; Metazoa; Chordata; Amphibia; Anura; Myobatrachidae
Exons: 4
Source: RefSeq, a predicted model, not a curated record